AACGCACCUUGCGCUCCUUGGUAUUCCGAGGAGCAUGCCUGUUUGAGUGUCGUGAAAUCAUCAACUCCCUUAGCUUUGUUGCGACGGUGAGCUUGGAUUUGGGGAUUUGCUGGCCUUCGGGUUCUGGCUUCCCUUGAAUGCAUUAGCUGGACGUUGAUUUGCAGCAUAUAUGCGGUGUGAUAAUUGUCUUCACUGUGUAGCUCAAGUCGAACUGGCUUCUAAUCGUCCUUCGCUGGACAACACUUUGACCAUUAGACCUCAAAUCAGGUAGGACUACCCGCUGAACUUAA
RNAcentral lists this unclassified non-coding RNA (290 nucleotides) under uncultured fungus. Its description in RNAcentral is "partial contains 5.8S ribosomal RNA, internal transcribed spacer 2, and large subunit ribosomal RNA". The stretch from base 1 to 52 matches the Rfam family "5.8S ribosomal RNA", at positions 103 to 154 of the family's 154-position model. The record is from RNAcentral. Lineage: Eukaryota; Fungi.